AUGCGGGCGCUGCCCCCUCUGGAGCUGCUGCCAGCCAGGGAGGGCGAGUCUCUGGGCAGCAAAGCUGUACUGGCCCCACGGGUAUCCGUGAUCAAUGGGACCAGCCCCUUUGCCUAUGACUAUGACCUCACCCAUGUUGUUGCUGCCUACCAGGAGAGGAACGUUGCCACCAUCCUGAAUGACUCCAGCUUCCUCUGGCUGGUGGGCAGAGCCAUGAAACUCCAUUUGUGAUUAAUGCUGUCAUCCAAUAUCCUGUGGAAACCAUUUCUUAUCAGCCAGGAUUCUGGGAGAUAGUAAAGUUCGCCUGGGUGCAGUAUGUCAGCAUCCUGCUUAUCUUCCUCUGGGUGUUUGAAAGAAUCAAGAUCUUCGUGUUUCAGAAUCAGGUGGUGACCACCAUCCCUGUGACAGCAACGCCCCGGGGAGAAAUGUGUAAGGAGCACUUAUCCUAGGAAGGCCGUUUCUGAAGACUCGGCAGGACCGUGGCUGCCUCAUUGUCAUCUCCUGGGAACAUCUUAGGACCUUUUGAAAGAGCCCAGAGGACACGUGCGGGCUUGUGUGCUUUUCCCCUCAGAGACAACAGUUCUUUCCAGUUUUGCUCUACACAAGUUCCGUAUCUUCAGAGCUCCUGCAGAAUCACCAAGGACUAGUUUGUGGAAAGGUCUGAGAGUUCCUGGAGGCUAUAAUUAGCUUUUUGGGUUUUCUUCCUUGCCUUAGAGUUGAAUUUCAGGAGAAAAUGGCAGGCAGUUCAGACAUCUUGGAAAGAGUCCCAUCUCUGGUCAAGCGGAGACUUUUCCUCUGUUGAACUGAGAAACACACUGUGCAUUUCUUCCUUCUACUGUGAGCCACUCUUACGCUUUCCGGGGCUUUUUUGUGACAAAUAUGCCAAUCACUAGCACUUUGCACCCCUGGGCAUCUCCAUUUCCCAUUCAGAGCUUUGAUUUCCAGAGCUGAGGCCUCUAACUGGAGACCUGGAGGGGCAGGGUCCAAGGGCAAGGGCUGCAUUAGCACAGGCAUGAGGGAGGGCUGCUGAAGGCGACUUGGACUGUCCACCUGCCCCAGCCCAACAGUCAGUCAUCUGUAAUCAGCUCGCUGAGCAGCCUUGGAUCUUUGCCGAACUGUGGCUGGCUCUUCACCCUAUUUUUCCCUCUCUCUGUGCCCCUGAUGGCAGACUAAAGUCAGAGGGGCUGUUUCAUUCCCAGCCCCCUCAGCAGCACUGAGGGAAGAAAGGAUUGUCACAACAGGUUCUUUCUGGCCCUCACCCAACAGCCUGGGCACUUGGCCCUCCUCCUCCUUGACAGCCCUCCCCCUUCCUGCAAAGGACAGGGGCAAUAGGAGUUGGUGUUGGGAUUGGCUCCCACUGCCUGACAACCACAAGUUUAUUUGGAAGGCUAGUGGGAAGCCCAGCGGCUGGCCUUUCCCUUGACUAAGGACCACAGUGCCCAUCAGAGUAGGGCAGGCAGCUUUGGGAAGGACACAAGAAGCAGUGAGGGAGUAAAAAAGAUGCUGGCCUGGGCAGGCCAGUCCAGCCUGGCCACUAGCAGAAUGCCAAGCAGUCCAGCCAGAUUACCCUCGUGGCUAAGCAAGUGUCUGCAAGAGCAGAGAUGGCUGGAAGGGGCCUCUGCACACGGAAGAUGGCUUGUUCAGCCCAUUCAUCUCCUGAGGACACGUGCAGUCUCCUCCAAGGACAGACGGAGCUGCUUUCUGAUCCCAAGCAGGUCAUUACCACUGAGAGGACAUGGCCCCUGUGAUCCGUGCUUCAUGUUCACCCGGAAACGUACCCCUCAGUGUGUGCCUCAGUUUACCAUGGAGAUCAUUAUCCAUCUCCAGCACCCAUUUCCUUUAGGCUGACUAAAAACAAUUUUUGAAACAAAGCUAUUUUGAAGUAUUCAAGCAGAGCAAUUCCCUAAUACUGUCCCCGUUGUCUUUUUUUAAUAUUCAGGCUAUUUUAGAUGCCUAAAUUUU
Molecule: RNA transcript, 1962 nt
Organism: Mandrillus leucophaeus (drill)
Lineage: Eukaryota; Metazoa; Chordata; Mammalia; Primates; Cercopithecidae
Gene name: transmembrane protein 231-like
Exons: 5
Source: RefSeq, a predicted model, not a curated record